UACGAAGGGGGCUAGCGUUGUUCGGAUUUACUGGGCGUAAAGCGCACGUAGGCGGCUUCUUAAGUCAGGGGUGAAAUCCUGGAGCUCAACUCCAGAACUGCCUUUGAUACUGAGGAGCUUGAGUCCGGGAGAGGUGAGUGGAACUGCGAGUGUAGAGGUGAAAUUCGUAGAUAUUCGCAAGAACACCAGUGGCGAAGGCGGCUCACUGGCCCGGUACUGACGCUGAGGUGCGAAAGCGUGGGGAGCAAACAGG
This 253-nucleotide ribosomal RNA is filed under the name uncultured bacterium. Its description in RNAcentral is "partial 16S ribosomal RNA". It matches the Rfam family "Bacterial small subunit ribosomal RNA", at positions 524 to 776 of the family's 1533-position model. The record is from RNAcentral.